CUUUAUUGAUAUGUCUGCCCUGCCUGCACCGAAACGACUAUUCAGCCUUGAAGAAACUGUAACGUAGCCUACUGAUCUGCACCGAUGGCUCACAGGUGUUGGGAGAUGAACUUCCUAUGUUGGAUGGUAAUGCCACUGAUCUCUCCUCCCACGCUUUCUGCUCUCAGGCUGCAGUCUGAACAGUUGCUCAACUAUAGGUUGGAACUUGUAUCCCACAAACUGAGAUGCGUGUUGGAUCACCUCCUGCACUACUAAUGGCUCCGCACCUGUUUACAUCUAAUGCGUGUGAUGUCUGUAGCGAUUGGACCACUGCUCCCACUGCUGCUUCUAUGGAUGUGCACUUUUUUCCCAGUUCCUCUAUGUAGACCUCUCGCUGGUUUCCCAAGCUUUCCACAAUCCUCAGUGUGUGUGUGCACUCUGGCAUCUACAUGGGCCCACGCCCCACAACAGAAACAAGCACAGAUGAGUGUUAGGUGAGACAACCCGUCCCAGGCUACCCACCAGCCCCAACAGUACAGUUCUCCCUAAAUAUAAGCAAAAACUGCUUACCUUGGGCCCGUUGGAGAACUGAACUGCCGGAACCUGCUUCACCCGGGGCGGAACUGCUCUCCUGGUUGUCUUUCCUCAAAUCUCGGUAGGAACCUCCAGAUCUGUGGUGGAAAAUUCCACGCUCCUGGACUUCUCAACAAUUAGCACUCUGGAACCAAUUAACUCUUGUAAAGAAACCAAUUAUCACUCUGGACCAAGCAUCCGAAGAAGACCACGUAGACAGAGACUUCCCAACACUGAAGAUCUUUAUUCACUGUAUCACAAUGAUAUUACAAUCCAAACAAUGUCUGAACUGCACUACCAAGCAAUAGAGUGAAGGCGGCGCUACCAGCUGGUACCUCGACGAGAUCGAUCUGAAGUUCUGGCUGCUCUGCUCCCCCUUUUAUUCUGUUCAGAAGCGCCUCCUUCUGAGACGUCACCAGAUCGUGUUUUAGCCAAUCAGAAAGGCGGAGGAGCAAGAGGAUCCAAUCAUAAUGGUGGAAGUUUCACCCUCCUCCAUUUUUAAAGAAUACGAGCACACCUCUCAUUAGGUCACUAUGUUGAGUCAUGGUUGUUUGUGCUCUUCUGCCAUAGUUUGGGUUUUCUGGUUCUUUCCAGUUUUCCAGUUUGCAUCUGUUUUACCCUUUCAACCAGCUGGCACAUUGCCCUCACUCCUGCUUGAGUGGAAAGUCCCCUUUCCCCUAUUUCACUCUGAUCCAGCACAUGUCCGUACAUGCCUGUACAUGCCUAUACAUGUUGUUUCAUGUUGUUUCAUGUUGAUCCUUUUCUUAUGAGUAUAUGGCAUUAAAGGUUAUUAAUGUAUCUUA
Sardina pilchardus (European sardine) is the source of this 1355-nucleotide long non-coding RNA. RefSeq lists it as uncharacterized. The record is from RefSeq and is a predicted model, not a curated record. The transcript is spliced from 4 exons. NCBI's taxonomy places the organism in Eukaryota, Metazoa, Chordata, Actinopteri, Clupeiformes, Clupeidae.